AUUGGACGCUGGCGGCAUGCUUUACACAUGCAAGUCGAACGGCAGCGCGGGCUUCGGCCUGGCGGCGAGUGGCGAACGGGUGAGUAAUACAUCGGAACGUGCCCAGUAGUGGGGGAUAGCUCGGCGAAAGCCGGAUUAAUACCGCAUACGACCUGAGGGUGAAAGCGGGGGAUCUUCGGACCUCGCGCUAUUGGAGCGGCCGAUGGCAGAUUAGCUAGUUGGUGGGGUAAAGGCCUACCAAGGCGACGAUCUGUAGCUGGUCUGAGAGGACGACCAGCCACACUGGGACUGAGACACGGCCCAGACUCCUACGGGAGGCAGCAGUGGGGAAUUUUGGACAAUGGGCGAAAGCCUGAUCCAGCAAUGCCGCGUGUGUGAUGAAGGCCUUCGGGUUGUAAAGCACUUUUGGCGGGAACGAAAAGGACUGUGCCAAUACCACGGUUCGAUGACGGUACCCGCAGAAUAAGCACCGGCUAACUACG
This 482-nucleotide ribosomal RNA is filed under the name uncultured bacterium. RNAcentral's name for it is "partial 16S ribosomal RNA". It matches the Rfam family "Bacterial small subunit ribosomal RNA", at positions 29 to 505 of the family's 1533-position model. The record is from RNAcentral.